GGAAGGAUCGCACGGGCUCGACCCGGCGACGCAUCCUUCAAGUGUCUGCCUUAUCAACUGUCGACGGUAGGUGAUGCGCCUACCGUGGUCGCCACGGGUGACGGGGAAUCAGGGUUCGAUUCCGGAGAGGGAGCCUGAGAAACGGCUACCACAUCUAAGGAAGGCAGCAGGCACGCAAAUUACCCAAUCCCGGCUCGGGGAGGUAGUGACGAAAAAUAACGACGCUGGACUCUACGAGACCCAGUCGUCGGAAUGAGUACGCUCUAAACCCUCUAACGAGGACCUACUGGAGGGCAAGACUAAUGCCAGCCGCUGCGGUAAUUUUAGCUCCAGUGGCGUAUACUAAAAUUGUUGCAGUUAAAAAGCUCGUAGUUGGAUGUCUGCUCUGGACGUAGGGGGCCGCUCGCGCGGUCCGCCAUGCGCACCCGGCAUUCUGCUCGCCACUCGGGGGUCGGUUUUCACCGGUCGGCCCUCGGUGGUCGGCGGUUAUCGCUUUGCAAAAAUUAGAGUGCUUCAAGCGGGCUCACCCAGGCUCGAAUAGUAAUGCACGGUACGAUGGAACAUGACUUCGGAUCUAGGUCCUCGGGGACAGACGGAGACCGAGGUGAUGAUUAAUAGGAGCAGACGGGGGCAUUCGUAUUCCGACGCUAGAGGUGAAAUUCUUGGACCGUCGGAAGACGACCCACUGCGAAAGCAUUUGCCAAGAAUGUUUCCCUUAACCAAGAACGAAAGUCAGAGGCUCAAAGAAGAUUAGAUACCUUUGUAGUUCUGACCCUAAACGAUGCCAGCCAGCGAUCCGGCUGCGUACGGUUGUGACGCGCCGGGCAGCUCGUCCGGGAAACCUGAGUUCAGGCUCCGGGGGAAGUAUGGUUGCAAAGCUGAAACUUAAAGGAAUUGACGGAGGGGCACUACCAGGAGUGGAGCCUACGGCUUAAUUCGACUCAACACGGGAAAACUCACCCGGCCCGGACGUUUUAGUACGAAUUACAAAUUGAUAGCUCUUUAGGGAAUAUGUGGAUGGUGGUGCAUGGCCGCAGUUGGUUCGUGGGGUGACCUGUCUGGUUGAUUCCGAUAAACGAACGAGAUUCCCGUUGGCUAAAUACGACUCUCCCCCGUUCGAUGGGGGUUGCAAGUCUUCUUAGAAGGACCGGCGGCUUCGAAGCCGUACGAGAGAGAGCGAUUGCAGGUCUGUGAUGCCCUAAGAUGUCCGGGGCCGCACGUGCGCUACAGUAGAGCGGCUAACGUGCCGAGGUUUCCUUGGCCUGUCGGCCUCGGGAACCAUUUCAGUCCCUCUCAGUGCUGGGGAUAGGGGAUUGUAACUUCCCCUCCAACGAGGAAUUCCCAGUAGGCGCGGGUCAUUAACUCGUGCCGACUAAGUCACUGCCCUUUGUACACACCGCCCGUCGCUGUCUCCGAUUGAACGGUGGAGUGAGGUCUUCGGACCUGCUUAUCCGUCGGCCUCUUGUGGGUCGAGUGGACUAGCGGGGAAUUUGCCCGAACUUGGCCGCUUAGAGGAGGCAAAAGUCGUAACAAGGUUUCCGUAGGUGAACCUGUGGAAGGAUCAUU
This is a non-coding RNA of Trichonephila inaurata madagascariensis, 1566 nucleotides long. The record is from the annotation of a GenBank genome assembly. Lineage: Eukaryota; Metazoa; Arthropoda; Arachnida; Araneae; Nephilidae.